Molecule: transfer RNA, 65 nt
Filed under: Dipodomys ordii (Ord's kangaroo rat)
Lineage: Eukaryota; Metazoa; Chordata; Mammalia; Rodentia; Heteromyidae
Rfam family: tRNA
About the family: Transfer RNA (tRNA) molecules are approximately 80 nucleotides in length. Their secondary structure includes four short double-helical elements and three loops (D, anti-codon, and T loops). Further hydrogen bonds mediate the characteristic L-shaped molecular structure. tRNAs have two regions of fundamental functional importance: the anti-codon, which is responsible for specific mRNA codon recognition, and the 3' end, to which the tRNAs corresponding amino acid is attached (by aminoacyl-tRNA synthetases). tRNAs cope with the degeneracy of the genetic code in two manners: having more than one tRNA (with a specific anti-codon) for a particular amino acid; and 'wobble' base-pairing, i.e. permitting non-standard base-pairing at the 3rd anti-codon position.
Source: Rfam by way of RNAcentral
GGUGGCUCAGUGGUAGAGUGCUUGCCUUGCAUGCAUGAGGCCCUGGGUUCGGUUCCCCAGUACCA